GACACGAUAUUUAUAUAGUGCACGAGCAAGGCAUCGGGUAUUUUUCUCCAAUCUUGGUAGCUGACUUGGAUAUCAAUCCUAGGGCGAAUAGUAGUGGGAGGCGGCCGAAGCUAGGGUUUCUCGCUGGUCCUUCAUCACAUCGCUUCAGGUUCUUCUGAAAGGUCGAAGCCAUGUCUCGUGUUUAUGUUGGUAACUUGGACUCAAGAGUUACUGAGAGAGAUCUUGAAGAUGAAUUCCGUGUAUUUGGAGUCAUACGAAGUGUGUGGGUCGCAAGGAGGCCACCUGGUUAUGCUUUUAUAGACUUUGAUGACCGCAGAGAUGCCCAAGAUGCUAUUCGGGAAUUAGAUGGUAAGAAUGGUUGGAGGGUAGAGCUUUCCCACAAUUCCAGAGGUGGAGGUGGUGGGCGUGGAGGUGGUCGUGGUCGUUCUGGUGGAUCUGAUCUGAAGUGUUAUGAGUGUGGUGAGCCUGGUCACUUUGCUCGUGAAUGUCGCAUGCGUGGUGGUUCAGGAAGACGUCGCAGUCGCAGUCGCAGUCCGCCACGAUUUCGAAGGAGCCCAAGUUAUGGGCGAAGUAGGAGUUAUAGUCCUCGUGGUCGGUCUCCUAGGCGUCGCAGUUUAUCACCUCGAGGACGCAGCUAUAGUAAGUCACCUCCUUACCGUGGACGUGAGGAGCCACCAUAUGCUAAUGGGAAUGGUGCAAGGGAUCGACGCCGAAGCAGAAGUUGAUUUAAAAGUGUUGGCAACUGUGUUGUUCAAGUGGAUAUUGAAAUUUUGUUAAACUAGUGUGCUUGCACUGCGGUUCAAGUCUGUUUAGAUGGGCAAUGCCCUGAACAUCCUACUCUUGGAUUGGACUAGUUACUUUCUUGAUUUCUCAGCUUGUGUUCUUUAUUCUAUGCAGGACGCAUGUAGUUCCAUUACAGGUGUCUUCUGGUACUGCUUCAUUGGUUUUGUGCUUCUGCAUUCCCUGGGAUAUCGUUCCUGGCUGCCCUUCUCUGGGAUCUCCAAUUUUGAAUAGUUUUGGGUCCCAUCCAGCUACAUGCUUCUGUUUGAGUCUCGUCACUUGUGAUUUGCGCACCUCAAACUCUAUUGGCAUUUCUUUUUAUUAACUUAAAAGGGGUUGACGGCCUGCAUCAAAUACUUCUGGCAGUGGCAGUGUUGUAGAAACCUGAUUUGUGUUGAUCAUGUCAUAAGUUUCCCCUGAUCGACUGGCUUGAAAAUCAUGUGAUCGGCAGCUGUCCUGGGUUCUUCCUGCUGGUGUGGUCUGUUGCAUCAAGCUUUAUUUUGACCAUUUUCUUUUUUAUUUUUUUUGGUUAAAUUUUUUAUAGGCCACAAUCGUUUAGGUAAACAAUAACUCGCAGCGUUUGGCAGGCUUGCGGGUAUUUCCUUGAAAUUAAUUUAUGAUUUGGUGUUGGGUUUUUUUGUGUUGUACGCUGUUCAGUAAUGAAAUAAACUUGCAGCAGGGGCCUGGCUUGUGACUGAUACUAAAUCAGGUAGGCAGGAUGAAGAUAUCAUGAUAUGUUGGGGUAGGAAUAUGUUGAGUCUUGUCGGCCAUGCAUAGGAGUACAAGGUUAGAUGUCUGAGUCGCGUCAGCGAUUCAUAGGGUUACUUUAGCCUGCAUUAAUAUGAAAGCAAAUGUAGCUUUUAUCUGCUUGAACCUGCAUUAAUUGCAUCCGAUGGUGGUAAUGAGUUGAUGAUGGCCGUGAAUCUUCUUGGUACGAAUCACUCUUUGCUUUCCUCUGGGACUAUAUUGCCAUGCGACCAGCGUGUGAAACAUCGGCAUUCUUCUAUUCGGAUGAAAUGCUUCAUGUCAAACCCAUUUUUCUUGUAAAUGAAAUGGGUUUUGUCCUUUCCACAACUUGUUUUUACCCCGCUACAUCUGUCAUUUUAGUGCAGGGAGUCCACUACUUUCAUGUACAAGUAUUUUGCAUUUUAUUUAUUCAUGUUGUGUCCUUUUGACGUCAAA
RNA transcript from Prosopis cineraria, 1962 nucleotides. It is a transcript of the gene named serine/arginine-rich splicing factor RSZ22-like, with no coding region annotated. The record is from RefSeq and is a predicted model, not a curated record. The transcript is spliced from 8 exons. NCBI's taxonomy places the organism in Eukaryota, Viridiplantae, Streptophyta, Magnoliopsida, Fabales, Fabaceae.